RNAcentral lists this ribosomal RNA (399 nucleotides) under uncultured bacterium. RNAcentral describes it as "partial 16S ribosomal RNA". It matches the Rfam family "Bacterial small subunit ribosomal RNA", at positions 360 to 776 of the family's 1533-position model. The record is from RNAcentral.
AAUAUUUCACAAUGGGCGAAAGCCUGAUGCAGCAACGCCGCGUGAGUGAUGAAUGCAUUCGGUUCGUAAAGCUCUUUGAUCAGGGAUGAUAAUGACAGUACCUGAAAAACAAGCCACAGCUAACUACGUGCCUGCAACCGCGGUAAUACGUAGGUGGCGAGCGUUGUCCGGAAUUACUGGGCGUAAAGGAUGCGCAGGUUGAUACUUAAGUGGGAUGUAAAAUCCCCGGGCUCAAACCGGGAACUGCAUUCCAAACUGGGUAUCUAGAGUGAAGGAGAGGAAAGCGGAAUUCCUAGUGUAGAGGUGAAAUGCGUAGAUAUUAGGAGGAACACCAGUGGCGAAGACGGCUUUCUGGACUGUAACUGACACUCAGGCAUGAAAGCGUGGGUAGCAAACAGG